AACGAACGCUGGCGGCAUGCCUAGCACAUGCAAGUCGAACGAGACCUCCGGGUCUAGUCUCGCCCGGGUGCGUAACGCGUGGGAACCUGCCCUUAUGUUCGGCAUAACUCUCCGACAGGGGUGCUAAUACCGGAUAAUGUCUUCUGACCAAUGAUUUAUCGCCUUUGGAUGUGCGCGCGUUGGAUUCGCUAGUUGGUAGGGUAAGAGCCUACCAAGGCGACGAUCCAUAGCUGGUCUGAGAGGAUGGUCAGCGACACUGGGACGGAGACCCGGCCCAGACUCCUACGGGAGGCAGCAGUGGGGAAUAGUGGACAGCGGGGGGAGGCAUGAACGAGCAAGGCCGCGAGAGUGAUGAAGGCCUUAGGGUUGUAAAGCGCUUUUAACCGGGAUGAUAAUGACAGUACCGGGAGAGUAAGCUCCGGCUAACUCCGUG
This 433-nucleotide ribosomal RNA is filed under the name uncultured bacterium. RNAcentral describes it as "partial 16S ribosomal RNA". It matches the Rfam family "Bacterial small subunit ribosomal RNA", at positions 29 to 507 of the family's 1533-position model. The record is from RNAcentral.